CCGGGGUUCGUCAGGGCGACCUGUCACCAUCAUCCUUCACCGCCGCACCCACCACUGGAAUUAACCAUGUUGCAGCUGAGCUUCAAUCAACAGCGCGCCAUCUGCUUCUUCCCCUUCGGCAACGUCGUCGUCAUCGUAGCAGCAAGCCGGCCACCACAGGUUCGGAGACGAUCGUCAUCGUAGCAGCAAGCCGAUCUUUUACCCUCCGCCGACGGUGGAACAAACAACUUAUGUUCGUCGGAGACGAUCGUCACCAACGGCUUCAUCGAUCCACAUCAAUCUCAGCUACUGCCGCGAGGCCCUUUGAUGCCACCGGCAUCAGUCUACGGCAACCUGCUCGCCAGCGCCGGUGAGGUCAACACCGAAGAAGCUUCCUGUCGACGCGUGGACAGCGAUAGCCUCAACUUUUUGACGCGUGGUUGUGUACGUGUUGAUCUUUGCAGCUGUUGUGUCAGGGCUCUAGUGUCAAAAACACCUUCGUCCAGGGUGUGUUUGUAAUAGUUCUGCAUGUUUAAUAUAUUCCUGCUUUUAUAAAAAAAA
This 540-nucleotide long non-coding RNA is filed under the name Panicum hallii. Its description in RNAcentral is "long non-coding RNA (PHAL_LNC000067)". Lineage: Eukaryota; Viridiplantae; Streptophyta; Magnoliopsida; Poales; Poaceae. The record is from RNAcentral.